Molecule: ribosomal RNA, 1545 nt
Filed under: uncultured Pantoea sp.
Lineage: Bacteria; Pseudomonadati; Pseudomonadota; Gammaproteobacteria; Enterobacterales; Erwiniaceae
Description: bacterial SSU rRNA
Rfam family: Bacterial small subunit ribosomal RNA
Source: RNAcentral
UCUAGAUUAGAGUUUGAUCCUGGCUCAGAUUGAACGCUGGCGGCAGGCCUAACACAUGCAAGUCGGACGGUAGCACAGAGGAGCUUGCUCCUUGGGUGACGAGUGGCGGACGGGUGAGUAAUGUCUGGGGAUCUGCCCGAUAGAGGGGGAUAACCACUGGAAACGGUGGCUAAUACCGCAUAACGUCGCAAGACCAAAGAGGGGGACCUUCGGGCCUCUCACUAUCGGAUGAACCCAGAUGGGAUUAGCUAGUAGGCGGGGUAAUGGCCCACCUAGGCGACGAUCCCUAGCUGGUCUGAGAGGAUGACCAGCCACACUGGAACUGAGACACGGUCCAGACUCCUACGGGAGGCAGCAGUGGGGAAUAUUGCACAAUGGGCGCAAGCCUGAUGCAGCCACGCCGCGUGUAUGAAGAAGGCCUUCGGGUUGUAAAGUACUUUCAGCGGGGAGGAAGGCGACGGGGUUAAUAACCCUGUCGAUUGACGUUACCCGCAGAAGAAGCACCGGCUAACUCCGUGCCAGCAGCCGCGGUAAUACGGAGGGUGCAAGCGUUAAUCGGAAUUACUGGGCGUAAAGCGCACGCAGGCGGUCUGUUAAGUCAGAUGUGAAAUCCCCGGGCUUGACCUGGGAACUGCAUUUGAAACUGGCAGGCUUGAGUCUUGUAGAGGGGGGUAGAAUUCCAGGUGUAGCGGUGAAAUGCGUAGAGAUCUGGAGGAAUACCGGUGGCGAAGGCGGCCCCCUGGACAAAGACUGACGCUCAGGUGCGAAAGCGUGGGGAGCAAAACAGGAUUAGAUACCCUGGUAGUCCACGCCGUAAAACGAUGUCGACUUGGAGGUUGUUCCCUUGAGGAGUGGCUUCCGGAGCUAACGCGUUAAGUCGACCGCCUGGGGAGUACGGCCGCAAGGUUAAAACUCAAAUGAAUUGACGGGGGCCCGCACAAGCGGUGGAGCAUGUGGUUUAAUUCGAUGCAACGCGAAGAACCUUACCUACUCUUGACAUCCACGGAAUUUGGCGGAGAUGCCUUAGUGCCUUCGGGAACCGUGAGACAGGUGCUGCAUGGCUGUCGUCAGCUCGUGUUGUGAAAUGUUGGGUUAAGUCCCGCAACGAGCGCAACUCUUAUCCUUUGUUGCCAGCGAUUCGGUCGGGAACUCAAAGGAGACUGCCGGUGAUAAACCGGAGGAAGGUGGGGAUGACGUCAAGUCAUCAUGGCCCUUACGAGUAGGGCUACACACGUGCUACAAUGGCGCAUACAAAGAGAAGCGACCUCGCGAGAGCAAGCGGACCUCACAAAGUGCGUCGUAGUCCGGAUCGGAGUCUGCAACUCGACUCCGUGAAGUCGGAAUCGCUAGUAAUCGUGGAUCAGAAUGCCACGGUGAAUACGUUCCCGGGCCUUGUACACACCGCCCGUCACACCAUGGGAGUGGGUUGCAAAAGAAGUAGGUAGCUUAACCUUCGGGAGGGCGCUUACCACUUUGUGAUUCAUGACUGGGGUGAAGUCGUAACAAGGUAACCGUAGGGGAACCUGCGGCUGGAUCACCUCCUUA